UAGAGCUUGAUCAUGGCUCAGAUUGAACGCUGGCGGCAGGCCUAACACAUGCAAGUCGAGCGGUAGAGAGAAGCUUGCUUCUCUUGAGAGCGGCGGACGGGUGAGUAAUGCCUAGGAAUCUGCCUGGUAGUGGGGGAUAACGUUCGGAAACGGACGCUAAUACCGCAUACGUCCUACGGGAGAAAGCAGGGGACCUUCGGGCCUUGCGCUAUCAGAUGAGCCUAGGUCGGAUUAGCUAGUUGGUGGGGUAAUGGCUCACCAAGGCGACGAUCCGUAACUGGUCUGAGAGGAUGAUCAGUCACACUGGAACUGAGACACGGUCCAGACUCCUACGGGAGGCAGCAGUGGGGAAUAUUGGACAAUGGGCGAAAGCCUGAUCCAGCCAUGCCGCGUGUGUGAAGAAGGUCUUCGGAUUGUAAAGCACUUUAAGUUGGGAGGAAGGGUUGUAGAUUAAUACUCUGCAAUUUGACGUACCGACAG
RNAcentral lists this ribosomal RNA (480 nucleotides) under Pseudomonas sp. 01WB02.4-34. Its description in RNAcentral is "bacterial SSU rRNA". It matches the Rfam family "Bacterial small subunit ribosomal RNA", at positions 1 to 484 of the family's 1533-position model. Lineage: Bacteria; Pseudomonadati; Pseudomonadota; Gammaproteobacteria; Pseudomonadales; Pseudomonadaceae. The record is from RNAcentral.